AACGAACGCUGGCGGCAUGCCUAACACAUGCAAGUCGAACGAAGGCUUCGGCCUUAGUGGCGCACGGGUGCGUAACGCGUGGGAAUCUGCCCUUUGGUUCGGAAUAACAGCUGGAAACGGCUGCUAAUACCGGAUGAUGACGAAAGUCCAAAGAUUUAUCGCCAGAGGAUGAGCCCGCGUUGGAUUAGGUAGUUGGUGGGGUAAAGGCCUACCAAGCCGACGAUCCAUAGCUGGUCUGAGAGGAUGAUCAGCCACACUGGGACUGAGACACGGCCCAGACUCCUACGGGAGGCAGCAGUGGGGAAUAUUGGACAAUGGGCGCAAGCCUGAUCCAGCAAUGCCGCGUGAGUGAUGAAGGCCCUAGGGUUGUAAAGCUCUUUUAACCGGGAAGAUAAUGACUGUGCCGGGAGAAUAAGCCCCGGCUAACUCCGUG
Molecule: ribosomal RNA, 433 nt
Filed under: uncultured bacterium
Lineage: Bacteria
Description: partial 16S ribosomal RNA
Rfam family: Bacterial small subunit ribosomal RNA
Source: RNAcentral